AUGCCUUAAACUAAUGAGUAAGGAAAAUAACUACUCUGCGGGAACGUAGAGGUACGGCAACCCUUCGGGGUGUCAAUCUAUUUUUCUGGGUACAGGUUGUCCUCAGGAGCUCCUACCUACUUUGUAGGAGCACCUGAGUGAUAAAUCUGCCUG
This is a small nuclear RNA of Bolinopsis microptera, 153 nucleotides long. RefSeq annotates it as U12 minor spliceosomal RNA. NCBI's taxonomy places the organism in Eukaryota, Metazoa, Ctenophora, Tentaculata, Lobata, Bolinopsidae. The record is from RefSeq and is a predicted model, not a curated record. The transcript has a single exon.